RNAcentral lists this non-coding RNA (30 nucleotides) under Mus musculus (house mouse). Lineage: Eukaryota; Metazoa; Chordata; Mammalia; Rodentia; Muridae. The record is from RNAcentral.
UGACAUUUGAAAGGUGUCCAUGAGCACAGA